GGGGAAGUUACAUAUUUUGAAAUAGAGUACUAUUAUAUUUCCGUAUUUGUGCCAUAAUUGGUGGCUCUUGUAUCCGUAAAAGGAAGGAUCAUUUAUGAUGACUUGUUGCCAUUUUAUGAUGGAUUUUUGGAUCUUUUAUGGUUAAUGGAUUAAUUGGUGUAUACCAAAUUUAUUGUGCCUUAAUGAGGUAUAUUAUAGCGCCAUUAAUGGUUGAUUGAUUGAUUGGUGUAUAUCAAACUUGUAUUGCGUUAAUAAUAAGAAGAAGGCAUAAUCGUGAUAUAUUUGUUUGAUAAGAUUUUGUCUUAUAUUUGACCAGAUAUAUCUUAACUAUGUUUUCAAUAUCCAAACUUUA
This 352-nucleotide long non-coding RNA is filed under the name Daucus carota (carrot). Its description in RNAcentral is "long non-coding RNA (DCAR_LNC000158)". Lineage: Eukaryota; Viridiplantae; Streptophyta; Magnoliopsida; Apiales; Apiaceae. The record is from RNAcentral.